GACGAACGCUGGCGGCGUGCUUAACACAUGCAAGUCGAACGGAAAGCCCCUGCUUUUUUCUUGUGCUCGAGUGAGUAACGGAUGAGUAACACGUGAGUAACCUGCCCUCGACUUUGGGAUAACUACCGGAAACUGGGGCUAAUACCUGAUAGGAGCGCCUUCUGCAUGGUGUGGGUUGGAGAUUAGCGGCGGUUUGGACAGGUCUCGGGGCUUCUCAGCUGGUGGGUGGGGUAGUGGCUUACCAAGGAUUUGACGAGUAGCCGGCCUGAGAGGGUGACACGCCACAGUGGGCCUGGGAUAGCGGCCAGACUCAUACGGCAGGCAGGAGUGAGGGAUAUUGGACGCAGGGCGGAAGCAUGAUGCAGGAACUCCGGGUGGGGGAGGACGGCUUUCGGGUUGGAAACGGCUUUUGGCGGAGAGUAAGAGGGAGUGACGGUAACGGAUAAAGAAGCAACGGCUAACUACGUG
Molecule: ribosomal RNA, 468 nt
Filed under: uncultured bacterium
Lineage: Bacteria
Description: partial 16S ribosomal RNA
Rfam family: Bacterial small subunit ribosomal RNA
Source: RNAcentral